Molecule: ribosomal RNA, 542 nt
Filed under: Staphylococcus aureus
Lineage: Bacteria; Bacillati; Bacillota; Bacilli; Caryophanales; Staphylococcaceae
Description: bacterial SSU rRNA
Rfam family: Bacterial small subunit ribosomal RNA
Source: RNAcentral
GACAACUCUAGAGAUAGAGCCUUCCCCUUCGGGGGACAAAGUGACAGGUGGUGCAUGGUUGUCGUCAGCUCGUGUCGUGAGAUGUUGGGUUAAGUCCCGCAACGAGCGCAACCCUUAAGCUUAGUUGCCAUCAUUAAGUUGGGCACUCUAAGUUGACUGCCGGUGACAAACCGGAGGAAGGUGGGGAUGACGUCAAAUCAUCAUGCCCCUUAUGAUUUGGGCUACACACGUGCUACAAUGGACAAUACAAAGGGCAGCGAAACCGCGAGGUCAAGCAAAUCCCAUAAAGUUGUUCUCAGUUCGGAUUGUAGUCUGCAACUCGACUACAUGAAGCUGGAAUCGCUAGUAAUCGUAGAUCAGCAUGCUACGGUGAAUACGUUCCCGGGUCUUGUACACACCGCCCGUCACACCACGAGAGUUUGUAACACCCGAAGCCGGUGGAGUAACCUUUUAGGAGCUAGCCGUCGAAGGUGGGACAAAUGAUUGGGGUGAAGUCGUAACAAGGUAGCCGUAUCGGAAGGUGCGGCUGGAUCACCUCCUUU